Molecule: ribosomal RNA, 436 nt
Filed under: uncultured bacterium
Lineage: Bacteria
Description: partial 16S ribosomal RNA
Rfam family: Bacterial small subunit ribosomal RNA
Source: RNAcentral
GCGAACGCUGGCGGCCGGCUUCACACAUGCAAGUCGCGCGGGCAUCCUUGUGGUGUCAGCGGCAGACGGGUGAGUAACGCGUGGGAACGUGCCCUUCGGUUCGGAAUAACUCAGGGAAACUUGAGCUAAUACCGGAUACGUGCGAGAGCAGAAAGGUUUAUCUGCCGAAGGAUCGGCCCGCGUCUGAUUAGCUAGUUGGUGAGGUUACGGCUCACCAAGGCGACGAUCAGUAGCUGGUCUGAGAGGAUGAUCAGCCACACUGGGACUGAGACACGGCCCAGACUCCUACGGGAGGCAGCAGUGGGGAAUAUUGGACAAUGGGGGCAACCCUGAUCCAGCCAUGCCGCGUGAGUGAUGACGGCCUUAGGGUUGUAAAGCUCUUUUCUCCGGGACGAUAAUGACGGUACCGGAGGAAUAAGCCCCGGCUAACUUCGUG